AACGAACGUUAGCGGCGCGCUUAACACAUGCAAGUCGAACGAGAAAGGGAGCAAUCCCCGGUAAAGUGGCGCACGGGUGAGUAACACGUAGGCAACCUACCCCUUGGCGGGGGAUAACCUUCCGAAAGGAGGGCUAAUACCGCAUAUGACCACGUCCGCGUCAGCGGAUGAGGUAAAAGCUGGCCAAUUCAUGAAAGCUGGCACCGAGGGAUGGGCCUGCGCCCCAUCAGCUAGUUGGUAGGGUAAUGGCCUACCAAGGCCGAGACGGGUAGCUGGUCUGAGAGGAUGAUCAGCCACACUGGAACUGAGACACGGUCCAGACUCCUACGGGAGGCUG
RNAcentral lists this ribosomal RNA (337 nucleotides) under uncultured Pseudomonadota bacterium. RNAcentral's name for it is "bacterial SSU rRNA". It matches the Rfam family "Bacterial small subunit ribosomal RNA", at positions 29 to 351 of the family's 1533-position model. The record is from RNAcentral. Lineage: Bacteria; Pseudomonadati; Pseudomonadota.